RNAcentral lists this ribosomal RNA (253 nucleotides) under uncultured bacterium. RNAcentral's name for it is "partial 16S ribosomal RNA". It matches the Rfam family "Bacterial small subunit ribosomal RNA", at positions 524 to 776 of the family's 1533-position model. The record is from RNAcentral.
UACGUAGGGUGCGAGCGUUAAUCGGAAUUACUGGGCGUAAAGCGUGCGCAGGCGGCUUCGCAAGUCAGACGUGAAAUCCCCGGGCUUAACUUGGGAAUGGCGUUUGAAACUACGGAGCUGGAGUGUGGCAGAGGGAGGUAGAAUUCCACGUGUAGCGGUGAAAUGCGUAGAUAUGUGGAGGAAUACCGAUGGCGAAGGCAGCCUCCUGGGCCAACACUGACGCUCAUGCACGAAGGCGUGGGGAGCAAACAGG